UUCGAUGUAUUUCUUGGCUAAAAGUACGUCAAAAACGACGACGAAUUCAUUCGGUCGGAGUACGCACAGUUUUCGAGUUACCGUACCCCGAACCCUGAGGAAAGCACGUCGGAGAUUCAUUCGUCGAAAGACAUAAAAAACACAUUUCUCUCGAAUUGAAGAUCCAACGAGGUUUUUCCACUAAGGGGAUGGCCCGGUAGACAGGGAGUUUUCGUCAAGAUAAAAAAUCGCCGUCGCGCAGGCUGAACGAGGGGAAACAUACAGGUCUGGGCUGAUAAAUCGUAGCGGGCAACUGGUAUCAGGAACGAGUUUGCAGCUCCCUAUCGAAAUCACUCUAGAAGAUAUUCCUGAGGAUUUAAUCCCGAAGCGAAUUGACGGAACAAGGCUCAUCUUUAAUACGAGGCUCUGCUGGAAAGUCACAAAACGUCGUAUGGGAGGAUUCUUCGACUUUACCAAGCCACUUGGAAUUUGAAUGGCGCAAGAAAACGCACCAAGGUACAAGGUGAGCUAAACGAAAAACAUGGAAUAAAUUACUGUGACAACGACGACGAGCAGGGCUUGGAACGAGUGAAUGGCGGUCGUUACGAGCACCACAGUCACAUCAAAAACAAAUAUAUAUCUACAAUCUGCAUAGCAUGUAAAUCAUAUCUUUAUCAUGACUGUAAUAUUUUAUACAGAAUAUAUAUGAGAGAUUUUGCGCCAAUUUUACAUAUCGAAAUCCGCAUCCUUUUUAACUCGCGUGAAUAUUUCACACGUUUUUUUCUAUUAUUAUUAAAAAAUUAAGCAGAAAUGUAUU
Molecule: long non-coding RNA, 796 nt
Organism: Venturia canescens
Lineage: Eukaryota; Metazoa; Arthropoda; Insecta; Hymenoptera; Ichneumonidae
Exons: 3
Source: RefSeq, a predicted model, not a curated record